UAGGGAAUAUUGGUUAAUGUGCGAAAGCGCGAACCAGCAACGCCGCGUGUGCGAUGAAGGCCUUCGGGUCGUAAAGCACUUUUUGCAGGGAAGAGGAAGGACGGUACCUGCAGAAUAAGUCUCGGCUAACUACGUGCCAGCAGCCGCGGUAAAACGUAGGAGACGAGCGUUAUCCGGAUUUACUGGGCGUAAAGCGCGUGCAGGCGGCAUGGCAAGUUGGAUGUGAAAGCUCCCGGCUUAACUGGGAGAGGUCGUUCAAUACUGCCAGGAUUGAGAGUGGUAGAGGGAAGCGGAAUUCCGGGUGUAGUGGUGAAAUGCGUAGAUAUCAGGAGGAACACCAGUGGCGAAAGCGGCUUCCUGGGCCAUUUCUGACGCUCAGACGCGAAAGCUAGGGUAGCAAACGG
This 404-nucleotide ribosomal RNA is filed under the name uncultured bacterium. Its description in RNAcentral is "bacterial SSU rRNA". It matches the Rfam family "Bacterial small subunit ribosomal RNA", at positions 355 to 775 of the family's 1533-position model. The record is from RNAcentral.